This 594-nucleotide ribosomal RNA is filed under the name Rhodotorula mucilaginosa. Its description in RNAcentral is "LSU rRNA". It matches the Rfam family "Eukaryotic large subunit ribosomal RNA", at positions 48 to 658 of the family's 3401-position model. Lineage: Eukaryota; Fungi; Basidiomycota; Microbotryomycetes; Sporidiobolales; Sporidiobolaceae. The record is from RNAcentral.
AAGCGGAGGAAAAGAAACUAACAAGGAUUCCCCUAGUAGCGGCGAGCGAAGCGGGAAGAGCUCAAAUUUAUAAUCUGGCACCUUCGGUGUCCGAGUUGUAAUCUCUAGAAAUGUUUUCCGCGUUGGACCGCACACAAGUCUGUUGGAAUACAGCGGCAUAGUGGUGAGACCCCCGUAUAUGGUGCGGACGCCCAGCGCUUUGUGAUACAUUUUCGAAGAGUCGAGUUGUUUGGGAAUGCAGCUCAAAUUGGGUGGUAAAUUCCAUCUAAAGCUAAAUAUUGGCGAGAGACCGAUAGCGAACAAGUACCGUGAGGGAAAGAUGAAAAGCACUUUGGAAAGAGAGUUAACAGUACGUGAAAUUGUUGGAAGGGAAACGCUUGAAGUCAGACUUGCUUGCCGAGCAAUCGGUUUGCAGGCCAGCAUCAGUUUUCCGGGAUGGAUAAUGGUAGAGAGAAGGUAGCAGUUUCGGCUGUGUUAUAGCUCUCUGCUGGAUACAUCUUGGGGGACUGAGGAACGCAGUGUGCCUUUGGCGGGGGUUUCGACCUCUUCACACUUAGGAUGCUGGUGGAAUGGCUUUAAACGACCCGUCUUGAA